AUUGAACGCUGGCGGCAGGCCUAACACAUGCAAGUCGAACGGUAACAGGAAGCAGCUUGCUGCUUUGCUGACGAGUGGCGGACGGGUGAGUAAUGUCUGGGAAACUGCCUGAUGGAGGGGGAUAACUACUGGAAACGGUAGCUAAUACCGCAUAACGUCGCAAGACCAAAGAGGGGGACCUUCGGGCCUCUUGCCAUCGGAUGUGCCCAGAUGGGAUUAGCUAGUAGGUGGGGUAACGGCUCACUUAGGCGACGAUCCCUAGCUGGUCUGAGAGGAUGACCAGCCACACUGGAACUGAGACACGGUCCAGACUCCUACGGGAGGCAGCAGUGGGGAAUAUUGCACAAUGGGCGCAAGCCUGAUGCAGCCAUGCCGCGUGUAUGAAGAAGGCCUUCGGGUUGUAAAGUACUUUUCAGCGGGGAGGAAGGCGAUAAGGUUAAUAACCUUGUCGAUUGACGUUACCCGCGAAGAAGCACCGC
RNAcentral lists this ribosomal RNA (479 nucleotides) under Enterobacter hormaechei. RNAcentral's name for it is "bacterial SSU rRNA". It matches the Rfam family "Bacterial small subunit ribosomal RNA", at positions 30 to 496 of the family's 1533-position model. Lineage: Bacteria; Pseudomonadati; Pseudomonadota; Gammaproteobacteria; Enterobacterales; Enterobacteriaceae. The record is from RNAcentral.